ACACCCCGCCCCAGUACUCCCUUUCUCUUCUCCACUAUGGAUAGAGUCUCCACAGAGCAGCUGCCUGCUGGCCACCUACCCAGCUGACAUGGGGACCAUAGGAGCCAGGCAGCUGUGCUGGGCGAUCCUGGGCUUGCUCUUCCUCCAAGGACCCUUUAGCAGUUUAAGUCUGGUCACGGAGCCAACUUCUCCCAAUACAGGAGAAAAAUCUUCCUCCGAGUUUGGCAGCCCAAGGCUUCUUUUCAGCUCCAGUAUUCCAGCAACUUCACAGAAGACCCCACAAAGCCCUCUUGGAUCCAGGAACCCUGUAACAGGGAGAUCAAGCGUCACAGAUGGGCACUCCUUUAAGAACCUGACUCAGGCCCAGGCACAGAAGCACACAGCGGAACUUAGCACUGGAGCUCCACACAGCAGUAGCAGCAGUGGCGGAGGCGGCAGCAACGCAAGGGGAGAAACAUCUCAAAAUGAUACUUCUAAUUCAGUCACCAUGAACUCAAGUAUGAUGGAAGACUUGACCAUCCUGCCUAGCCCCACAUUAGCGACUGUGCUCACUGUGGCUGCCUUUGGUGUGAUCAGCUUCAUUGUCAUCUUGGUGGUUGUGGUGAUCAUCCUAGUCGCUGUGGUCAGUCUAAGGUUUAAGUGUCGGAAGAACAAGGAGUCAGAAGAUCCCCAGAAACCAGGGAGUUCAGGACUAUCUGAAAGCUGCUCCACAGCCAAUGGAGAAAAAGACAGCAUCACCCUCAUCUCCAUGAAGAAUAUCAACAUGAAUAACAGCAAAGGCUGCCCCUCAGCAGAGAAGGUUCUUUAAAAGUGACUUUGGUCCCCAUGGGUCCAAGGAUGAUGCAGCUAUUCCAUGACUAUAAGGAGGAAGAGAUGAAAUUGAUAGAGGCAAUAAACCAUAUAUAAAUUAUUUUAUUGUUUUGUGUCUGCUCCUGGAUCUAAAGGACACUGGCACUCCUCCAGAUCUGGCAGCAAGCUUCCAGCAUGAGAGACUGCUUCCCACACAGACAGAAAUAUGGCCUGAUCCUCUUCUUUCUAGAGUCAUAUGAAGGAGCAGCCUAUAAAGCAAGAAGAAGGAAAAAUACCGCAGUGGACUGAUCCUUUAUGCUUGCAUUAAAAUUAUUUUCUAGUCUGGCAGUCCAAUUUCUUUUAAGGUCUAUGUUUCCAUGCACAUUUCUUCCUCUUUGUGUGUGUGGUACAAAUACAGGACCUCAUACUUUCAAGCACUUUAUCACUGAGCUACAUCCCCAGUCCUUUUUGUGUUUUGAGACAGGAUCUCCCUAAAUUGCCCUGGCUGGCCUUGAACUUGUAAUCCUCCUGUAUCAGCCUCCUGAGUUGCUGGGAUUACAAGUGUGCACCACCAUGCCUGGAUCCCUUGUACAUUUUUUAACAUUCCAGAAGCUUUCCAGAUUUCUUUGCUAGGCCAAGCAUGCAUACCUCUUUCUGCUUCUGUGGGAAGCUCUCUGAGAAAUGUGGGAGAGGAACUUUUUAUUCAGUCUGCCUCUGUUCACCUAUUUUAUUAAGUGGGGUUGAGGUAACUGACUGACCUACUCAACAGAAAUGAGACACAAGGGACUGUAAACAGAGACCAGUCAUCACCAAUAAAAAGGUUGUUUUUUGAAGUGCUGGGUAUUGAACAAUCACCUUACCACUGAGCCACAUUCUCAGCCCAGGCAAUACAAAGUUUUAAAUCUGUAGAAUAAAAACAAGGGAAGCACAAUCCAUUUUGACAAAGAAACUCCAGGAGUGAAAGCUGAAUGAAAUUCAAGUGUUCUCUGCCAGCAUGGAUACACUUCAUUUUGGCUCUGAGCAUGAGAUGAGCACUGGGAAGAUUUACUUCAAGGAUAGGUCUUUAAGGUCCAAAAACCCACACAUUUGACCUUUGACUGACAUUGUGUUUGUGUCCUAGAAACAUAAUAAAGGAUUGCAGACAUACUAUGAAGUCAUUAAAAAGAAAGGAAAUAUCUGUUUUCUUAGUAAUAGUCAUGUCUACUAUGUCAUUGGUUUGGAAAUGAAUCAAGAGAAGUCAUCUGUGUAUAUCUAAUCUACUGCUAAUUGGCAGUUUAGGACACAGGGAGAAUGGAGCUUACUCACCUGCAGGAACAGUAUGCUAUUUUCUUCUGGCUUUGACUUCAUAAAGUGGUAUGAGACAGAAUGUCUAGAACAAAAAGUUUUGUUUUAUUUGUCUCAGUUAAACUAUAAAAUACUAGGCAUGGUGGUACAUGCCUGUAAUCCCAGGAAUUCAGGAUGCUGAGGCAGAAGGAUUGCAAGUUCAAAGUCAGCCUCAGCAAUUCAUAUAGGCCCUCAUCAAGUUAGCAAGGCCCUGUGUCAAAAUAAAAAAUAAAAAGGACUGGGGGUGUAGCUCAGUAAGGUGCCACUGGAUUCAAUCCCUAGUGCCCGAAACCCCUCCAAAAAACUAUUAAAGUGGGCUAGGCACGGUGGCACACACCUAUUGUCUCAGUGGCUCUGGAGGUUGAGGGAGGGUGGAGGGAGAUAUUAAAGAGAGCUUGUUGGGGACUAAAGGUGUGUAGCUCAGUGGUACAGCAUCUGCUUUGCAUGUACAAGGCUGUAAGUUCAAUCGUUAGCACCAAAAAUAAAUAAUAAAGUGAGGUGGCUGGACUACUUGGCUUUCACUAACUUCUUUUGUUUUAUAUCCCACAGUUCUGUGAACUCUAGAUAUUAAAAAAUAAAAUGAAUGAAUGAAUGAAAU
Ictidomys tridecemlineatus (thirteen-lined ground squirrel) is the source of this 2710-nucleotide long non-coding RNA. NCBI's taxonomy places the organism in Eukaryota, Metazoa, Chordata, Mammalia, Rodentia, Sciuridae. The record is from Ensembl.